This 460-nucleotide ribosomal RNA is filed under the name uncultured bacterium. RNAcentral describes it as "partial 16S ribosomal RNA". It matches the Rfam family "Bacterial small subunit ribosomal RNA", at positions 338 to 795 of the family's 1533-position model. The record is from RNAcentral.
CCUACGGGAGGCAGCAGUGAGGAAUAUUGGUCAAUGGACGAGAGUCUGAACCAGCCAAGUAGCGUGAAGGAUGACUGCCCUAUGGGUUGUAAACUUCUUUUAUAUGGGAAUAAAAUGUUCCACGUGUGGGAUUUUGUAUGUACCAUAUGAAUAAGGAUCGGCUAACUCCGUGCCAGCAGCCGCGGUAAUACGGAGGAUCCGAGCGUUAUCCGGAUUUAUUGGGUUUAAAGGGAGCGUAGGUGGAUUGUUAAGUCAGGUGUGAAAGUUUGCGGCUCAACCGUAAAAUUGCAGUUGAAACUGGCAGUCUUGAGUGCAGUAGAGGUGGGCGGAAUUCGUGGUGUAGCGGUGAAAUGCUUAGAUAUCACGAAGAACUCCGAUUGCGAAGGCAGUUCACUGGACUGCAACUGACACUGAGGCUCGAAAGUGUGGGUAUCAAACAGGAUUAGAUACCCCAGUAGUC